This is a small nucleolar RNA of Blastomyces gilchristii SLH14081, 82 nucleotides long. It matches the Rfam family "A. fumigatus snoRNA Afu_294". The record is from Rfam. Lineage: Eukaryota; Fungi; Ascomycota; Eurotiomycetes; Onygenales; Ajellomycetaceae.
CCACCUGAUGAACUCAAUUAUUUCGCUGUGUUCUUCCCGAGUCUUGACUUUGAGGACAACUAUCAUCUUGGAGACCUGAUAC